UUCACUUCAUCCCUGUAAAACAAGAUGUUUUACCAAACACGAAUUCAAAGAAACUAGUAUAUAAUAUACAAACACUCUAAGCAAAAAGUGUGCUGAAUCUCAAGCGCACUAAUAUACAAACACUCUGAGCAAAAAGUGUGCUGAAUCUCAAAUGCACAAAGUCUCUUAAAUAGCCAAGAUUCAUGCCCCGUCAUUAUGUAUAUAAAACUCUCUCAUAAUAUACGACUAACUGACAAAAUCUAUCUAGUUGUGCUGGUACUUGACAUAAAUAUAUAACGGUGCAGAAGCCAAGACAAGCAAAAGAUUGAAAAGCAUUUGAAGCCCUGUAAGUACAAAAGGGAUCGAUAGAAUAUGUAAAUGAGUGACCAACUGACCUGCGUGGGUUUCCGGCGAGAUCAUUAUCGUUAACAGGAUCGAGUUGGAUCAGGACAGCGUCCCCCAUCAAUACUUGUUGCGAUAGAGGAUGGAACCAGCUCAUAUAUAUAGCGUACGUACCUAAGGUCUGAGAGUAGUGCGCGAUGCGUACCUAACGUCUGAUGGUAAGUAUAGGCGUACGUUGUUUCUCGGAAGUAUCCUCCGACUCCUAGCCCUCGACCGCAACCGUCAACACGGUGGAUAUUUUCCAGAAGCAAAUUAUCCCUAUCUUCUACUUUCUCAAGGGGUGUCAUUUGCCCUAUUUUAAAUUUGCUACAGACAUUCAACGUUCUCAAGCACACAAGCGACUU
Molecule: long non-coding RNA, 725 nt
Filed under: Coffea arabica (coffee)
Lineage: Eukaryota; Viridiplantae; Streptophyta; Magnoliopsida; Gentianales; Rubiaceae
Description: long non-coding RNA (CARA_LNC001335)
Source: RNAcentral